CAAAUAAAUAAUAUGACUUCUUUUACUGUCUCGUCUUGUUGUCGCCGUCCUUGGGCCUUCUGGCUUCACGGUCAGGCGAAGAGGCAGUCGCAGUCCGUUGGCGUCGGCGCGGGGAGGGGAGGGGAGGGGAUGGAUGGUGGAGUCGCGGCCGCUGGCGGUAGUGAGGCCGCGUGCGCCAGCGCCCGCGGAGGAGGGGCACGGGCACCGGCUUGGCUCGUCUCGACCUUUCUUAGGUGAUUAAGUCGUCGUCGUCGCCCGCUCGUCAGCUCGUCUCAGGUGACCCCGGUUCGUUACCGGAGGCGGCCUCCGAAGCCCCCCGAGAGAGAAGAGGAGCGCGACAGCGACACGAGGCGCGAGCGUAGGUGCCAGGUGCCGCUCCGAGGCUCCUCCAAGACCUAGCUCCUGCUGCGGAAGACCUUCCUGCCCCGCGGCAAGGUCUAGCAGCCGCCGCUGCACGUGAUGAAGGCGUAACAGGGGCUCAUGACCUUUCUAGCGGAAAAUUCCCGAUUCCGUGAUCCGGACUUGUGUUAGGUUUGUAUACAAGGAACCUUAAACGUGCUCGGCCUUGGUGUCUCGACCCUUAAGUUCCCGAAGCGACUGUAACUUAGCAUAGAUUCUGAACGAGUUCUUAAUCUUUACGAGCAGUACGAAGCACAUCCAGGUAUAUAAACACCUCUUACCCUAAAUCCCCCUAAAGGUGGUACCAACGAGUGGUAUCUUGGUCGGGAAUUUGAUGCUAGUAGUCUGCGUUGGAUAGAAAGGAACCAUCUCUCUACCACCUCUCAGAACGAGGGUUUUCAUCGUGGUGACAAUAUGCUCUUACCUCCAGGUUAAUAGUACCACGUCUAACUUUUACUUAAACCAAGUAAACCUCUACUGUUCUUAAUGGAAGUAAUGGAACAAGUCAACCGGUCUGCUAUAGACCCCUUACUGUAACAAGACAUAUGUUGACUACCCCCGUGAUGAUUAUGGAAUUUCUUACCUCGUUAAGAAGUUCUACUACAGAAGCGACGACAACUAAAAAGUUGACCACUACUAGGUACCGGUUAUAAGUCUAAUGUCUUCUUUAUGUUGAAUGGCCCUUUUAGUCGGGGAAAUUCACGCCUUAAAAUAUGGCCUACCGAUUGUGUGACCCCACUCUCAUAACGUUGUUGUCUACGGUCGUCGUGUCGAUUUCGAGAAUUUUCAUAAGAUACGGCGUUACCAAGACGACAUGAGAUAUACCGAGUACCUCCCUGUUUAAAACCCAAAAUGUUACCUCGUUUAUGACCAGUUUGACUUAUGCUCAUAUUCCGUCUGGAAUGUAGAAUGCUAAUACUACGCGGUUAAUUCCUCGUACCUCUGCACGUAUUAGGGUUUAUGUUUCGUAACUCUUCUCAUUAUGUACUUACGUGACCGUGAGGAGACGUAGGUGAAGGACGGCUGUAACUUUCUCGUUCAAUACCCGAACACUUUAAUGUUUUCCAACGAAGAAAGAAACUGUAUAAACUAUUCUAGACACUAGGUGACUUUCACCGACAAAGUCUUGUCGGAGACAGAUACCUUGACUGUCCGGUCUACAAACCCAAAGAUGACAUACACAGCCUUAUGGUUCCUUUUCCAGGAAUGUCGUAGGAUAGUUAAGGUUUCCAUGUACUGUCUCGGGUCCACAAACACAGUACGAGUGAACUACUGCAGUCUUUAGUUUAUAUACGACCGCAAUAACUUUCUACCAGAUCAUUUUGGGAUGUCUAUGGUUGGAAUUUGACGAGAAGAUUAUAGGCGAAUAGAUAGGACCAUCUUUUAUACCCGGCACAUUUAAUACCCGGUAUGUAAAAACUAGUCUUCCCCUAUAAUAGAUGACAACUUUAUCUACCACACUGAGAGGUAGUGACCUUUUACAUGGGCAAUAGCAAGUUAAAUGACCUUUUGGAAAGCUUUAAGGUUGGUUAGGUCGUCUAGUGACUACGGUCUCGAUCGUUUCACAGGUCAGUACCACCAAGUGUUUUAUUCGAUGCACUAAACAGUAAGAUAGAUUUACCGUUUAGUCUUCUCGGUCUUAAAAUACUUCCGGUAAAGGUGUAACUGAGGUUAUCGUGCCAUUUCCUAUGUAAGUAUAGUAAGGCACCAACCUUGUUUCCCCAACGAAAACACUUGUUGAAGUUGUAGCCUUCCAAGACCGGCCAUUACCCUGGUGUCACACGAGAAAUACAAGGACGAGGUUAGGAGUCUAGACCUCUGUUGUAACAACAUUAGAAGCUUGACGUGCCAGGUUUAGGACUCGCAUGAUAGUUGAACCAUCUUCUAGGUCUAAAGUGCACGCCAGGUUUAGCUACUUUUUCUCCGGGUUCCAAGAGUUGACUUUUUGUACAUAGAUUUGUAUAAGUGUCGUUCGGUAUCAACGUAACAUAAAAGUCUUUACAUGGAGAACUGCCUAAGUCCGAACGCUCCACCGCAAAGACCCACCACAUUAUGAACUUGAAAUAAUAACAACCAAUUACUUACAACCUUUACGCUAGUUAAUCAAGGUUCUUUCUUAGCUUCACUUAAGGUGCACACUAAAUAAAACUAUUUGUCUCAAAAGCAG
Molecule: ribosomal RNA, 2566 nt
Filed under: Triticum aestivum (bread wheat)
Lineage: Eukaryota; Viridiplantae; Streptophyta; Magnoliopsida; Poales; Poaceae
Description: partial small subunit ribosomal RNA
Source: RNAcentral